This 406-nucleotide ribosomal RNA is filed under the name uncultured bacterium. RNAcentral describes it as "partial 16S ribosomal RNA". It matches the Rfam family "Bacterial small subunit ribosomal RNA", at positions 30 to 526 of the family's 1533-position model. The record is from RNAcentral.
AUUGAACGCUGGCGGCAGGCCUAACACAUGCAAGUCGAACGAGUGGCGGACGGGUGAGUAAUGUCUGGGAAACUGCCCGAUGGCGGGGGAUAACUACUGGAAACGGUAGCUAAUACCGCAUACCAUCAGAUGUGCCCAGAUUGGAUGAGCUAGUUGGUGGGGUAACGGCUCACCAAGGCGACGAUCCCUAGCUGGUCUGAGAGGAUGACCAGCCAAACUGGACCUGAGACACGGUCCAGACGCCUACGGGAGGCAGCAGUGGGGAAUAUUGCACAAUGGGGGCAAGCCUGAUGCAGCCAUGCCGCGUGUAUGAAGAAGGCCUUCGGGUUGUAAAGUACUUUCCGCGGAGAGGCGUUACCCGCAGAAGAAGCACCGGCUAACUCCGUGCCAGCAGCCGCGGUAAUAC